Molecule: ribosomal RNA, 253 nt
Filed under: uncultured bacterium
Lineage: Bacteria
Description: partial 16S ribosomal RNA
Rfam family: Bacterial small subunit ribosomal RNA
Source: RNAcentral
UACGUAGGGUGCAAGCGUUAUCCGGAAUCAUUGGGCGUAAAGCGUUCGUAGGCUGUUUGGAAAGUUUAUGGUUAAAUCCGGUGGCUCAACGAUCGAAUAGCUAUAAAAACUUCCAGACUAGAGAGUAGUAGAGGUAACUGGAAUUCCGCAUGUAGGGGUAAAAUCCGUAGAUAUGCGGAGGAACACCAAAAGCGAAGGCAGGUUACUGGGCUAUUUCUGACGCUGAGGAGCGAAAGUGUGGGGAGCAAACAGG